CAUUAUUUCAACUGUAGAAGAGAAGACCCCAUGGACACCUCAUCACCAAAGCAAGUUAGUUGCUUUAAUCCUUAUUCUACGAAUGGGAAACUGAAGCUCAGAGAAGGAUCAUCUUGAGAACCCCACACUGAAGAGAGCUGCUCCUGUAGGACUUGAGUCCACAUCAGGACCACAGACACAGCCUGCAGUCUCAGAAUCCUGAUGCUGCCUUGUAAACAAGCCUGCUAGAGGGAUGUGAGAGAUACAUGGACAGAACACCUAUUUGAGCCAGUUCUCCCAGCCAGGGUCAUCUGAGACCAGCCAGUUGACUGUAGAGGUAUGAGUAUGUCCAGCCAAAGCCAGCCAAGCCUAUCCCAGAUCAGAAGAACCACCCACUUCGCCCAUAAAUUCAUGAGCAAUAAUAAAUGUGUAUUUUUUAAGCUCUGGUAUAUUUUGUUACACAGCAAUAGCUAACUGAUAUAGCAAGUCCAGGGGAAUGUAACUAUGAAGAAGGUGGUCUGUCAGUUUGACUUUAGUGAACACCAGCUGCCCCUAAAUAAUUACUCAUCUUCCACUGCAGCCCCAAGCACCAGCCAGGUUGCAACUGCCACCAACAUCUCCAUACAAAAGGACUGACCAGCCUAUGCAUAGGCUGUUUGGAACUGACUUUUUUGGGCUUUACAGGAUAUUGGUCAAAAAGGACUUUUGCUCAGGCAAAGAUGGUCUCCUCAGCAGAAGUCAGAUUAGCCAGCAGGAGCAGCUGGACCUCAAAACCAUGAUCAAAAAGAGAUGCCCUCUUUGCUCCAACAGUACAGAAGAGUAGGUCACCUAAAAAAUCAAAUCAAAUCAGAGUCCAGUAAGCAGGAAUAGACUAUGCCUGGAUGUGGACAGAAGUCUGAUCUCUUAAGAGAUUAUUUCUCCUUGCUCUGAUUCUCAAGUAUUUGAAUCUGGGACAUCUGAACACUAAAUAUCAGACCAGAGCUAGGGCUACACGGAUACAGAAUUUUGCCACUUAUAAAUGCAUUUGGGAAGGUUUUUUUUCCUAAGAAGAGCAUCCAUAGCUUUCAUAAGAUUCUCAGAAAAACUGUAACCUGAAAAACAACUGUAGAGAGAAUGCUGGAAGCAACAUUGCCUGCUGUUUAUCAAUGUUCCUACAGGUCUGACUCUGUGUAUUACUCUAUCCACAUGUUAUUGGAUGUACACAUUAUAAUUCCUAUAAGAAAAUUU
RNAcentral lists this long non-coding RNA (1206 nucleotides) under Homo sapiens (human). RNAcentral's name for it is "HSALNT0291410". Lineage: Eukaryota; Metazoa; Chordata; Mammalia; Primates; Hominidae. The record is from RNAcentral.